GAUAAACGCUGGCGGCGUGCAUGAGACAUGCAAGUCGAACGAAGGAUCGGGCUUGCUCGAUCCUUAGUGGCGGGCGGCUGAGUAACGCGUAGGUGACCUACCCCGAAGUGGGGAAUAACUGCCCGAAAGGGUGGCUAAUACCGCAUGUGGUCGCACGUUCAUUCGUGCGAGUAAAGCCGCAAGGCGCUUCGGGAGGGGCCUGCGUCCGAUUAGCUCGUUGGUGGGGUAAUGGCUUACCAAGGCGACGAUCGGUAGGUGGUCUGAGAGGACGAUCACCCAGACUGGGACUGAGACACGGCCCAGACUCCUACGGGAGGCAGCAGUCGGGAAUUUUGCUCAAUGGGGGAAACCCUGAAGCAGCAACGCCGCGUGAGGGAUGAAGGCCUUCGGGUUGUAAACCUCUUUUGUCAGGGACGAUGAUGACGGUACCUGGCGAAUAAGCCACGGCUAACUACGUG
Molecule: ribosomal RNA, 458 nt
Filed under: uncultured bacterium
Lineage: Bacteria
Description: partial 16S ribosomal RNA
Rfam family: Bacterial small subunit ribosomal RNA
Source: RNAcentral